AACAAACGCUGGCGGCGUGUCUUAAGCAUGCAAGUCGAGCGGCAGGCGCAGCAAUGCGCUGAGUGCGGCGGACUGGUGAGUAACGCGUGGGUAAUCUACCUUUGGCAUGGGGAUAGCCACUAGAAAUAGUGGGUAAUACCGAAUACGUUCCCUGGGGGGAGGUUUCAGGGAAGAAAGGGUGCUACGGCACCGGCCAAAGAUGAGCUCGCGUCCCAUUAGCUAGUUGGUGAGGUAAUGGCCCACCAAGGCGAUGAUGGGUAGCCGGCCUGAGAGGGUGUACGGCCACACUGGGACUGAGAUACGGCCCAGACUCCUACGGGAGGCAGCAGCUAAGAAUAUUCCGCAAUGGACGAAAGUCUGACGGAGCGACGCCGCGUGGAUGAUGAAGGCCGAAAGGUUGUAAAGUCCUUUUGCUGGGGAAGAAUAAGUGUGGGAGGGAAUGCCCGCAUGAUGACAUGAACCGGCGAAUAAGCCCCGGCCAACUACGUG
RNAcentral lists this ribosomal RNA (489 nucleotides) under uncultured bacterium. Its description in RNAcentral is "bacterial SSU rRNA". It matches the Rfam family "Bacterial small subunit ribosomal RNA", at positions 29 to 507 of the family's 1533-position model. The record is from RNAcentral.